RNAcentral lists this ribosomal RNA (693 nucleotides) under uncultured Strobilomyces. RNAcentral describes it as "eukaryotic LSU rRNA". The stretch from base 147 to 301 matches the Rfam family "5.8S ribosomal RNA". The record is from RNAcentral. Lineage: Eukaryota; Fungi; Basidiomycota; Agaricomycetes; Boletales; Boletaceae.
GACUGUGCUGGCUCCUUUGCUGGAGCAUGUGCACGUCUUCGCUCUCUCACACCCACACACUUGUGCACCCACUGUAGGUCCUCGCGAGGGGAUCUACGUCUUCUGUACACCCAGACGUAUGGCCAGAAAUGUCUUGACAACAAUACAACUUUCAGCGAUGGAUCUCUUGGCUCUCGCAUCGAUGAAGGACGCAGCGAAUCGCGAUAAGUAAUGUGAAUUGCAGAUUUCCAGUGAAUCAUUGAAUCUUUGAACGCACCUUGCGCUCCUCGGUACUCCGAGGAGCAUGCCUGUCUGAGUGUCCCAUGACAUCCUCAAGCCCACGCCACGGCGUGGCUUGGACGUGGGGGCUGCCGGCGUCGAGAGACGUCGACUCCCCUGAAAUGCAUUAGCGGAGACCGGCGGGUCUGGACAAGCACCGUGGCCGUCUCGACGUGAUAACGCUCCGUCGUUGGUCAGCAUGUCUGGGCUCGCGCGCUCGCGGUCGCCUCGCUUCUAACCCCAGCGAAGAGGUCAGCUCAGCUAGUAGUCGGUCGUGAGGCCGGCGAACGCAAGAGCCUGGGCUCGGACCACCCCCGUGAAGAGGUCAGCUCUGCUAGUACUCGGUCGCAAGGCCGGCGAACGCAGGGCUGGGCUCGGAGCGACCUUUGAGAACGGACCUCAGAUCAGGUAGGACUACCCGCUGACUUAAGCAUA